Molecule: ribosomal RNA, 506 nt
Filed under: uncultured bacterium
Lineage: Bacteria
Description: partial 16S ribosomal RNA
Rfam family: Bacterial small subunit ribosomal RNA
Source: RNAcentral
AGUGAACGCUGGCGGUAGGCCUAACACAUGCAAGUCGAACGGCAGCACAGAGGAGCUUGCUCCUUGGGUGGCGAGUGGCGGACGGGUGAGGAAUACAUCGGAAUCUACUCUGUCGUGGGGGAUAACGUAGGGAAACUUACGCUAAUACCGCGUACGACCUACGGGUGAAAGCAGGGGAUCUUCGGACCUUGCGCGAUUGAAUGAGCCGAUGUCGGAUUAGCUAGUUGGCGGGGUAAAGGCCCACCAAGGCGACGAUCCGUAGCUGGUCUGGGAGGAUGAUCAGGCACACCGGAACGGGGAAACGGUCCAGAAUCCUACGGGAGGCGUCAGUGGGGAAUAUUGGAAAAGGGGCGCAAGCCUGAUCCAGCCAUACCGCGUGGGUGAAGAAGGCCUGCGGGUUGUAAAGCCCUUUUGUUGGGAAAGAAAUCCAUCUGGUUAAUACCCGGGUGGGAUGACGGUACCCAAAGAAUAAGCACCGGCUAACUUCGUGCCAGCCGCCGCCGCCG